This 2077-nucleotide ribosomal RNA is filed under the name Calothrix dumus HWSC4C. RNAcentral's name for it is "partial contains 16S ribosomal RNA and 16S-23S ribosomal RNA intergenic spacer". The stretch from base 1 to 1409 matches the Rfam family "Bacterial small subunit ribosomal RNA". The record is from RNAcentral. Lineage: Bacteria; Bacillati; Cyanobacteriota; Cyanophyceae; Nostocales; Calotrichaceae.
AUGCAGUCCACGGUACCUUCGGGUAUAGUGGCGGACGGGUGAGUAACGCGUGAGAAUCUGUCUUCAGGUCGGGGACAACAGUUAGAAAUGACUGCUAAUACCGGAUAUGCCUUGUUGGGGUGAAAGAUUAAUUGCCUGAAAAUGAGCUCGCGUCAGAUUAGCUAGUAGGUGGAGUAAGAGACUACCUAGGCAUCGAUCUGUAGCUGGUCUGAGAGGACGAUCAGCCACACUGAGAACUGAGACACGGUCCAGACUCCUACGGGAGGCAGCCGCUGGGGAAUUUUCCGCAAUGGGCGAAAGCCUGACGGAGCCAAUACCUCGCGAGGGACGAAGGCUUGUGGGACGAAAACCUCUUUUCUCAAGGAAGAUUUCAGACGGUACUUGAGGAAUAAGCAUCGGCUAACUCCGUGCCAGCAGCCGCGAAAAUACGGAGGAUGCAAGCGUUAUCCGGAAUGAUUGGGCGUAAAGCGUCCGCAGGUGGCUUUAUAAGUCUGCUGUAAAAGCGUUAGGCUUAACCUAAUUACGGCGGUGAAAACUAUAAGGUUAGAGCAUGUUAGGGCUAGAGGGAAUUCCCACUGUAGCGCUGAAAUGCGUAGAGAUUGGGAAGAACACCGGUGGCAAAGGCGCUCUGCUAGGACAAUCCUGACACUGAAGGACGAAAGCUAGGGCAGCGAAUGACAUUAGAUACCCCAGUAGUCCUAACCGUACACGAUGAAUACUACGCGUAGCCCGUAUCGACCCGGGCAUUGACGAAGCUAACGCGUUAACUAUCCCGCCAGGGAGUACGCACCCCAGUGUGAGACUCACCGGAAUAGACCGGCGCCAGCACAAACAGUCGAAGAAGUUGACUAAUUCCAUCCCACGCGGAGAACCUUGCCGGGACUUGCCAUGCCACGAACCCUAGCUAAAGCAGGUGGUGCCUUCCGGAGCAAGCACCCAGGUGGUGCAUGGCUGUCGUCAGCUCGUGUCGUGAGAUGUUGGGUUAAGUCCCGCAACGAGCGCAACCCUCGUUUUUAGUUGCCAUCAUUAAGUUGGGCACUCUAGAGAGACUGCCGGUGACAAACCGGAGGAAGGUGGGGAUGACGUCAAGUCAGCAUGCCCCUUACGUCCUGGGCUACACACGUACUACAAUGCGACGAACAAAGGGCAGCUAGUUAGCAAUAACAUGCAAAUCUCAGAAAUCGUCGCUCAGUUCAGAUUGAAGGCUGCAACUCGCCUUCAUGAAGUCGGAAUCGCUAGUAAUUGCAGGUCAGCAUACUGCAGUGAAUUCGUUCCCGGGCCUUGUACACACCGCCCCGAGUCGUUACCCUAACCUUUCGAGGAGGGGGACGCCGAAGGUAGGACUGGUGACUGGGGUGAAGUCGUAACAAGGUAGCCGUACCGGAAGGUGUGGCUGGAUCACCUCCUUUAUAGGGAGACCUAAAUCAAGUAAAAAGAACCAAGUAAAAAGUAAAAAGAAAGAGAAAAAUCUUUUGACUUUUGAUUUUUGAGUUUUGACUUAAUGUAUCCCGAGGUCGGUCGCAUAUAUUUAGGUAAGCUUUCAAACUAUAAACAGGGUUCUUUUAUGGGCUAUUAGCUCAGGUGGUUAGAGCGCACCCCUGAUAAGGGUGAGGUCCCUGGUUCGAGUCCAGGAUGGCCCACCUGAAGCAAGUAAAAAGUAAAAAGUAAAAAGUAAAAAAAUCUUCUGACUUUUGAUUUUUGACUUUUGACUUUGUGGGGGGGUUUAGCUCAGUUGGUAGAGCGCCUGCCUUGCAAGCAGGAUGUCAGCGGUUCGAGUCCGCUAACCUCCACCUACUCCAAGAAAAAAAAUGCCACAAAAAAAGAAAAAACUUUGCAGUGGCAAGAUGAUUGUGAUAAGAUAAGAAAAUGUGGAUAAAUUCAGCAACAUGGCAAUUGGUCAGACUGCUGGAAGUGAUCCAGCCAGAACUUUGAAAACUGCAUAGUAACGCGAGGCAGGUAGACACAGACAUUGUAAGAAAUCAGAGUGAUGAUUUCAAAAAUGAAAGUGUUUGCAUAGCAUAGAUAUCACCAAUGCGUGAAGUAGUCAAGCGACUAAGGGCUAAUGGUGGAUACCUAG